GAUGAAGAACGCAGCGAAAUGCGAUAAGUAAUGCGAAUUGCAGAAUCCGUGAGUCAUCGAAUCUUUGAACGCACAUUGCGCCCUCUGGUAUUCCGGGGGGCAUGCCUGUUCGAGCGUCAUUAUAACCACUCAAGCUCUCGCUUGGUAUUGGGGUUCGCGGUUUCGCGGCCCCUAAAAUCAGUGGCGGUGCCUGUCGGCUCUACGCGUAGUAAUACUCCUCGCGAUUGAGUCCGGUAGGUCUACUUGCCAGCAACCCCUAAUUUUUUUAAGGUUGACCUCGGAUCAGGUAGGGAUACCCGCUGAACUUAAGCAUAUCAAUAAGCGGAGGA
Molecule: unclassified non-coding RNA, 329 nt
Filed under: soil metagenome
Description: partial contains 5.8S ribosomal RNA, internal transcribed spacer 2, and large subunit ribosomal RNA
Rfam family: 5.8S ribosomal RNA (bases 1-119)
Source: RNAcentral